AGGGAAUGAAACGAGACCUGAGUAGUUCCCUUAUACAGAACUGCUGUAUAAGAAAGUGUAUUUAUGUUAGAAUAAUUAUUGUGUAAUUAUUUUAUUGUCCAGCGGAGGGCAGCGAGGGUGAUUGGGAGACGGGAGCAUCUCACUUCCGAGGAAAGGCUGAGGGAGCUGGGCCUGUUCAGCCUCCAGAAGAGAUGAUUGAGAUGGGACCCCAUCAAUGUCUGUUCUGCAAGCCUUGAGAAUGGGAAGUUCUUCAGCAUCAGUCCCAGAAGUCCCUGCUCAUUUGGCAGCUCCCAUAGUAUCAGCACUGCUGAAGAUUAGGAGUCUUGCCAAGGAAUGUCAGAUACACCAUCUAUUGCAGAAAGCAAAAGGAGAAUGACGUGCCAAAGUCUGAAGGGCCAUUCUUAUCUGGCUAUUGUUAUUAAGAAAUAUGGAAUAAAGCAGGUUGGGGGAAGAAGAAUUUUUCUACCUUUGGCCUAACCUGCAGACCAGAUAAAGAGCACUGUAAUUCAGAGCUCCUCGCAGACAAACUUUUGCCCGAGGACUACCUGGACCACUUCUGCUUCGAGAAUCAGACUCGGAAGUCCUUGAGCUGGACCGAGAGCUGUCUUCUUCCUCUGAUCCCGAUGACUCAUCUAUAAAUGGGCUGUUGCUUAUUUGAGUUGCUUUCUGCAUAAAUGAACACAACAUUCUUUGAUA
Manacus vitellinus (golden-collared manakin) is the source of this 696-nucleotide long non-coding RNA. RefSeq lists it as uncharacterized. The transcript has 6 exons. Lineage: Eukaryota; Metazoa; Chordata; Aves; Passeriformes; Pipridae. The record is from RefSeq and is a predicted model, not a curated record.